UACGGAGGGUGCGAGCGUUAUCCGGAUUUAUUGGGUUUAAAGGGUCCGUAGGUGGACUAGUAAGUCAGUGGUGAAAGCCUAUCGCUUAACGAUAGAACUGCCAUUGAUACUGCUAGUCUUGAGUGUUAUUGAAGUAGCUAGAAUAUGUAGUGUAGCGGUGAAAUGCAUAGAUAUUACAUAGAAUACCAAUUGCGAAGGCAGGUUACUAAAUAACAACUGACACUGAUGGACGAAAGCGUGGGGAGCGAACAGG
RNAcentral lists this ribosomal RNA (253 nucleotides) under uncultured bacterium. Its description in RNAcentral is "partial 16S ribosomal RNA". It matches the Rfam family "Bacterial small subunit ribosomal RNA", at positions 524 to 776 of the family's 1533-position model. The record is from RNAcentral.